GGGAAUCUUUCUGACACAAACAUGGAAUCAUAGAGCUGGAAGAGACCACAAAGGUGACCUGGUUCAAGAAGCCACUGCACCUGCGGAAUUGCUCAAUGGACAGUUUCCAGGAAGGACGAGGGGGAAAAUCCAACAAAAUCCAUGCUGCAGUCUCCUGAAAAAGCCGCAAUGAUUCGAGAAAAAUGAGAGAAAAUGUUGGCCAUGACCCAAAAGUGAGAUAAUGCGCAGUUACUGUGAUGCGACCCUUGUGGCCUGAUUCUAAUGGACUUAGUCAGUAUGUAGGUGGGAACGCUGUUAAUACAUCGCCACAGCCUUCUAGUCCCACCCCAGUGAAAUAAAUCCCCCAGAUGUUUUUGCACUGCUAUUAGAGUGAUUCAUAACAGCAUGCUUAACAGAAGUGCUUCUCCUUGGCCCUAGUGAUGAAUGAGUUCUCCUAUGCCACCAACCAUGUGCAUAGUGAGAACAAGGGCUAUUUUAAUGUUUCUGGCCUUCCUCCAUGCCCUAACUACUUUGUCUUAUUGCCUUUCUCCAGCAAAUACCAUGAAACAGAGGCGGAGAGCUGAAGGGAGCUCUUAAAUUCGGCUUUGACUGCCAAUGUACAAUAGAUUCUUCCUCUGCUCACAAGGGGAAGCUUCACUGCAAAUACCUUUCUAUUCAAGAAGCUAGAAAAUAAUGUACGCAAUCACAAGCACACAGUUAUUCCAUGAAGCAGUGAUGUCAAGAAAAAAUUAUAUAUAUGUGUGUGUUCCUAAGAUGUAACUGUAUGCAAAUGGCAGGAAACAGUGGCCCAGAGGCACUAGAGAAGGUCCCUGGGAUGGCUGAAAAAUCAGAAAAUCCUUAUUUAUUUAUUUAUUUAAUCUCCCAAUCAGUCACUCCAAAAAUGCAGUUUCCUUAUAUGUUUGGCUCACAAACUAAAAGGACAAUGGGUUCCCCUGAACUAUGAAGACGAAAAUCCACUGCUUGUGGUGAUAUGAAAAUAAUCAAACAAACUCAAUGUAUAUCCAAAAAUCAAUGUCUAUCCAAAAAACAGGACUAUCCCAAUCGCAUAUAAGUAGAAAUCAGCAGUUCUUCUUUUGAAGUAUAAGGACAAGUUUUUCAUGUGAGUAAAUGUCCUGUUCUUUAUUGUUAUGGUUGAGCCUUAUGGCUCCGAUACUGGGAGACGAGGUCGUAAGACUCCUCGAGAGUCAGACUCUCUUGAGGAGCGCGAAAGGAAACGGCUCCGAGACUUAUUUGCAGAACCAACAGACGAAGACUCCUUUGAGGGUUUUACCGAGGGAAUGGAGGAAGAGAUGGUUAGCUCAGAGGAGGAUGACAUGGAAUGGACUCGUGUGAGGGAGGAUUUGGGUGUCACCGGCAAUGAUAGCAUGGGAGGCGACUGGCGGGUUGCAGGAUCGGACCCGUGGACGGGCUGGAGGGAUGGAACGGGAUCCACAGCUGGGGAUGCUGUGGGGCGUAGUCAAAGGUGUUUUAGCUCUGAUGAGGAUGAUGAUGAUGAGGCACCUGGAAUUAGGAUAGCAGCUGAUAGUGAUGAGGAGUUAUGAACUGGCAUAAAAUGGGGUUUAGAAUCAAUGGCUAAUUGCGUUGGGCAAGGUAAUCUGGACGAACGCUUGGGCUCUUGUUGGGGAAAUUCCUGAAGACGGGUGUGAUUCGUUUGCUGAAUAAGUAAGUUACCAAGGACACUGGGCAUAGACGGCGGGAGGAACUGUGUGGGCUUUUGCUGUGCAACCUGUGUUUAAUCUUGAUAGCUUGGACCUCCGUCGUCUUUUUGACGGACAUUAAUUGUCUACUCUGGAUUGACGCUGGACUGACUGACUGACUACGACCUCGGACUAUCCCUUCUGUGGCUAUCGGUGGAACUGGUGAACUAAAGACGUCUGUACCUGGCUUUCGACCUUGGACCGGAUUGGGACCCUGCUGACCGCUGCUACCCUGAUUGAUGUGUUUGGACCCGGAGUUCGCUCGUUGCACGGAGGAGUAACAACUUAGUUACUCAAUCGUAGCUUUUGAGUAGCAGAGAGGAAUCUGCUGCCAGUUAUUUGUGUUUCAUUGAAUCUUUGUUUACCAACUUUUGUUUGUUUAAAGUACCAGGCUGAAGUAAGCAUUUUUGAUUUAACCCGGAUUAAACUCCUGUUUAAUCCGGUUUAUCUUUUGAACCGUUUUUAGUAUCAGCGGAGUCUUAUUGUAUCUUUUCACAUUGAAGGCAAGUGUUUGCCUAGCCCUUUGUUUCUUACGGGCAUUUUUGGUUCUGUAACUUUAAUAAACUGUGUUGAACCUUA
This is a long non-coding RNA of Anolis carolinensis (green anole), 2276 nucleotides long. RefSeq lists it as uncharacterized. The transcript has 2 exons. NCBI's taxonomy places the organism in Eukaryota, Metazoa, Chordata, Lepidosauria, Squamata, Anolidae. The record is from RefSeq and is a predicted model, not a curated record.